CGGCGCGAAUGCCGUCAGGCGGCGCGGCGGCCUUGCUCGAACCGGCGCGGCGGGGCGUUGCAGACGCACCGCGCCGCCC
This 79-nucleotide transfer RNA is filed under the name Novosphingobium pokkalii. RNAcentral describes it as "tRNA-Ser". The record is from RNAcentral. Lineage: Bacteria; Pseudomonadati; Pseudomonadota; Alphaproteobacteria; Sphingomonadales; Sphingomonadaceae.